GUGCCAGCAGCCGCGGUAAGACGAACCGUGCGAACGUUGUUCGGAAUCACUGGGCUUAAAGGGCGCGUAGGCGGCUUGCCAAGUCAGGGGUGAAAUCCUGCAGCUCAACUGUAGAAGUGCCUUUGAUACUGGCGAGCUCGAGGGAGGUAGGGGUGGGUGGAACUUCUGGUGGAGCGGUGAAAUGCGUUGAUAUCAGAAGGAACGCCGGUGGCGAAAGCGACCCACUGGAUCUCUACUGACGCUGAGGCGCGAAAGCUAGGGGAGCAAACGGGAUUAGAUACCCCCGUAGUCC
Molecule: ribosomal RNA, 292 nt
Filed under: uncultured bacterium
Lineage: Bacteria
Description: partial 16S ribosomal RNA
Rfam family: Bacterial small subunit ribosomal RNA
Source: RNAcentral